This 692-nucleotide unclassified non-coding RNA is filed under the name Schizosaccharomyces pombe (fission yeast). RNAcentral's name for it is "non-coding RNA, poly(A)-bearing (predicted)". Lineage: Eukaryota; Fungi; Ascomycota; Schizosaccharomycetes; Schizosaccharomycetales; Schizosaccharomycetaceae. The record is from RNAcentral.
CUUCAAUGUUUCGAUUAACAGGUCCAUUAUCCGGUUUUUAGUUUCGCUGCACAUUGCCGAAUGACAAUCGGAUUCCUUUAAGCUUUGCUUUUGCCCUGUUUUCUCUCCCCAGUAAUCGUUGGGUGACUGAACCAUCCAGUAGCCGAGAGUUACGUUUUUCCUGAUUUAAUAAAUAUCCAUAUCUAUUUGUCUCGUGGUGUUUUACAGCAACUAACCGAAAUUACUAUUUUGCAUCAUCCAACCAUAAAGAGACAACAAUAAUUCUAGAAAACAUAUAACAAGUGUUUUUUUCUAUUUACGUCUCAUACGCAAAGUCCACUUUACCAUGUUUUGGAAACUUGUACCCAACCAUUCAUUUUUCGAUUUUGUAAUGAGGCUCUUUUCUUCUAACAAUCAUUGAGGUCAUUAUCAUGUGUCCUCACCUAUUGUUUAAAUUGAGGCUUGCGCUAUUCCCAAAAUUGUGGGUAUUAUUUUCAUAUAUCAGUAUCUGCAAUUUCGGUUCAACUUUCUUAUCAAGAAAGAGGAUUAAUUUCUUAACAAAAACCUUCUUUGUUUUAUAACGCUGAUUUUUGUAUUAUUUGGCGACCAAGGUUAUAAGUGAUCCAAUCCAAAUGUCAUAACUUCAGUUGAUCCCUGCGGAAAAUAUAAAUCAGAUUAGACAUAUGGUUAUAUAAAAAAAAAGAGAAAUUAUU